Molecule: long non-coding RNA, 210 nt
Organism: Hypanus sabinus (Atlantic stingray)
Lineage: Eukaryota; Metazoa; Chordata; Chondrichthyes; Myliobatiformes; Dasyatidae
Exons: 3
Source: RefSeq, a predicted model, not a curated record
UGGACUUCAGCAAGGCCUUUGACAAGGUUCCACAUGGAAGGUUAUUCAGGAUAGCUCCAUGAGCAUACAGUGUACACCAACACCAAAAAAAAGCUGGAGAAACUCAGCAGGUCAGACAGCAUCAAUAGAGGAAAAUGAACAGUCAACAUUUUGGGCUGAGACCCUUCAUCAGGACUGAAGACAGUUGAUAAGGCGAUCUCAUGAGGCUGC